CGUCUAGGCGGGGAGUUAAGUUAGUUGUGAAAUCCAUGGGCUCAACUCAUGAACUGCAUCUAAAACUGAUUCUCUUGAGUUCGGGAGAGGAAAGCGGAAUUCCCGGUGUAACGGUGAAAUGUGUAGAUAUCGGGAGGAACACCAGUGGCGAAGGCGGCUUUCUGGCCUAGAACUGACGCUGAAGCGCGAAAGCGCGGGUAGCGAACG
RNAcentral lists this ribosomal RNA (207 nucleotides) under uncultured bacterium. Its description in RNAcentral is "partial 16S ribosomal RNA". It matches the Rfam family "Bacterial small subunit ribosomal RNA", at positions 568 to 774 of the family's 1533-position model. The record is from RNAcentral.